RNAcentral lists this ribosomal RNA (486 nucleotides) under uncultured bacterium. Its description in RNAcentral is "bacterial SSU rRNA". It matches the Rfam family "Bacterial small subunit ribosomal RNA", at positions 28 to 512 of the family's 1533-position model. The record is from RNAcentral.
GACGAACGCUGGCGGCGUGCUUAAUACAUGCAAGUCGACUGAACUUAAGGUAGCAAUAUUUUAAGGGAGGUGGCGCACGGGUGAGUAACACGUAGGUAAUCUGCCUUUAGGACUGACAUAACUCCGCGAAAGCGGAGCUAAUUUCAGAUGAUGCAGCGGCUCGACAUCGAGACAGUUGUUAAACCUUCGGGGCCUAAAGAUGAGCCUGCGUCUGAUUAGGUAGUUGGCGGAGUAAAAGCCCACCAAGCCUGCGAUCAGUAGCUGGUCUGAGAGGAUGAUCAGCCACACUGGAACUGAGACACGGUCCAGACUCCUACGGGAGGCAGCAGUAAGGAAUAUUGCUCAAUGGCCGAAAGGCUGAAGCAGCAACGCCGCGUGGAGGAUGAAAUACUUUUGUAUGUAAACUCCUGUAAGAAGGGAAAAAUAUUCCGAUUUAUCGGGAUUGAUUGUACCUUCAGAGUAAGCCCCGGCUAACUACGUGCCAGC